Molecule: long non-coding RNA, 226 nt
Filed under: Phoenix dactylifera (date palm)
Lineage: Eukaryota; Viridiplantae; Streptophyta; Magnoliopsida; Arecales; Arecaceae
Description: long non-coding RNA (PDAC_LNC014281)
Source: RNAcentral
AAUAUCUAGGUUAGAAAAACUUCUUCAUCCACACCAUCCGACCCUACCACUCAUCACUCACCUAGUCCUGAUCAUGACCAGGACCACUACAUAGCUCCUCCCACUUUUUCUUCUACAUCUGGUCCAUCAUUCCCAUCCACUUCAGCUGGACCCUCUACUGCACCACCACCUCAGCAGCCCCUGGAAGUUCGGAUCAGCUCUGAGCAACUCCGGGAGAUGAGACAGG